Molecule: unclassified non-coding RNA, 280 nt
Filed under: Hevea brasiliensis (rubber tree)
Lineage: Eukaryota; Viridiplantae; Streptophyta; Magnoliopsida; Malpighiales; Euphorbiaceae
Source: RNAcentral
CUCAGAGAUGACAAAAGAUGGGAUAGAAGAGACUGACGGAAUCUUUAGAGAGAUGCAUCUGACUUGAAGGUCAUUUUCUUGUAUAAUACUUUGCUAUAAUUAUAUGUUUCUCCUCAAAUAUGGGAUGACUUUGGGUUUGGGUUAUUUAGGAUAGGUAUUGUAGGCAAGCAAAUUGUUGUAGCCAGGUGAUAAAUUUUUAGUUAGCAGUAAAAUCUUGUUUAGUAAUUAGUUUGCUCGUGAUGUAUAAAUUUUGUGUUAUGGCUACAUCUUUUUUACACUG